AGAGAAAGAGAGACUGACUAUGUUCAGCCUCUUUAUCCAUUCAUGAAAAUGUAUAGCUUUAUAAUAUACAGCAGUAUGGAAUAUACUUUAUAUUACGAUCAAUAUUGAAUUGCACCUUCAAUCAUUAGACCAAGUGGGCUGUUCGUAAGGUUUCGUAUGUGCCACCAAUACGUGAACCCUUCACCAGAUUGUUAAUAAGAAACCCAUAUCAUCUGAUAAGAACUGAUAAUGGCAGUGGCCGUGCAUAAUUUCCAUGUUAUUGAACAUCGUUCAAUGAAGGUGACCAAAAGGCAAAGACGCAUGCGCAAACCCAGCGAGAGAGAAAUAACUCUACAGCCUUCCACACUUAAUAAAAACGGAGGAGGAUGUUGUCUGUGCUUUCAGACAGGGAGACGAGAACGCAUGCGCGAACGACAACCAAAAGACUACAUUUCCCAUCAUACAUGGAAGGGAAGAAGACGGACUUCUAACUUCCGGUUCCAGCUCCAUGAUGACGCGCAAAUUAAUGACUGAAAGACUACAUUUCCCAGGAUGCUUAGCGGCGGAAGAUCGAGAUGUUGAAUUUCCCGGAAUUGGAGAGAACAUUAAACAUUAGAAGUUAAAUUAAUAGCAUUGUAUACACAUACAUCAUUUUCUCUAUGGGGAAUUCCGUUCAGAUUAUUUAGUAAAAGACUGCACAUUAGAUAAGGAGGAAUGAUACUCAUGGGGAACUACGUUACCCAUGAUUCCUAGCGCCAUUAUGUUAGAGAUUAGGAAAGACAGAUUCUCUUUCCUACCACAAUACGUUAUAGUAAUAUGGCACAUUCUUUUUGAAAUAAUGUAGACCUUAUUGGUCUUGUCUUUUUAUUAAUAAUGCAAUUUUUAAUGUAAGUGUAAAUUAUAAUUGAUGAGGUCAUUUCCGGGGUUGGACUUCCGGUUAGGAGAUGAUUGGCUACAGGCACCAUAAAUAGCUGGCUUCUCACACAGAAGGUCAUGUCUUGAAAAAGGUCCAGGAGACCGAAACGCGUCGACAGAUCCCUGUGUGAGUAGCCAAUUUUUUAACCCAAAAUUGUUUUUUUUUUAUUGAACUCAGCAUUACAUUUUUAUUGAACUUUUCGUUGUUAUUUUUUGGAUAUAUUCCAUUUUUCGU
Molecule: long non-coding RNA, 1129 nt
Organism: Pseudophryne corroboree (corroboree frog)
Lineage: Eukaryota; Metazoa; Chordata; Amphibia; Anura; Myobatrachidae
Exons: 3
Source: RefSeq, a predicted model, not a curated record